Sinocyclocheilus rhinocerous is the source of this 2702-nucleotide long non-coding RNA. RefSeq lists it as uncharacterized. The transcript is spliced from 3 exons. The record is from RefSeq and is a predicted model, not a curated record. NCBI's taxonomy places the organism in Eukaryota, Metazoa, Chordata, Actinopteri, Cypriniformes, Cyprinidae.
UAAACACCGAAUCAUUAAACAUCGCGUAUGAUUCUCAAGAUCACAUCAAAAUGUUUGUUUUUAUUCAUCAGGAGACAUUCCGACAGCAAAACUAACCGAAAAGCAGAGUUUCCCACCAAUGUCAAGCGAGAUAACAAAUUCGACGCUUUCUUGGCAAAACAUCACAUUUUACUUAAACUUCACAUGACGUCACCGCCACCACAUAAGACAUUUCUAAACUUUCUGCCUGUAACGACAUGUGCAGCUCGAGUCCUAAGAAUACACGGAUCCGCCAGUUAAAAUUAACCAAGAUGGCGUGAGGCUUGUUGUUUAGAGGGCAGAAAAAAUGGAGGAUAUUGUAAUAUACACAAAGGGAUAAAUUUCAACAACUCGGCCAGGCGGCAGCUGCUGCUCUUUAAGGAAGCAACAAAGAUAAGAGCAACGCGAAGCUCCAACUCAACGCCAGCGACCCGCUCCGACGGAGCAGGCGAUUUCCCCGUCGAAAAUACGAAACCGUGUGCUUUUAACGGCUUUUAUCAAAAGGAAUUGUAAAGUAAAUGCUUUUAUCAUGUCUCAAUGAAGAGCUGUUAGCUUUUGCCAUCAUCUGAGAGACGGACAUUAAACAGACCAAAGAGAUGAAGCCGGGUGAAAAGGGAUGCUUAUGGAGGGACAUGGACAGGCAGGCAAACCUCCGGGGAUCAGCGCUCCGGAGAGUGGGAGGACAAGAUGAGACGAUGGUGUGCAAGACGUGCAUCUAAACGUGUGCAUACGGUCCAUGUUUAUCUGUGAUCAUCAGACCACCCCGGCCACAGUGCAUCAUCCCUAUGUGGGGAAAGUCUUGUUAAUAUGGCGGCGAUGAGGUAAACGGAUAGGAAGUGAUGGAGUGGCAGACCCACGGGGGAUAACCACAUGAGGGGUGACAGACCACUGACAUCAGCCUUGUUCUCUUGCCUUGCUGGCUUGCUCUCUCCAUCUCUCUCUUCUCCACACACACUCAUUUCCAGGAAGGGGUCAUUAAUGUGAGGGAAAAAAAACUUAAUCCAGUCAUGGCUUUAAAAUGGAGUAUCUUCUCAUAGAGAUGCAAUCAUUCCUAACGGGUCUGAGUCAGGCUGCAGAUCUCACAAGAGAACAGCACAAAGAAGCUUUUAAUUCCUCCAUUUAGAGACAAAAUACAUAAUUUAUCAUUAAAGCACUGCUUGGAGGGGAAAAGGGUACUUUUUAGAUUUUAUUUGAGCGUAGCUCCCUAAAGUGGUAGCAGGGUUCAACUUAACCUGACCAAUAAACCGAGAAAAUGAUCCGCUUUUCGUUCUCUUCAACGCACCAGCCCUCUUAUAAAACUACAGCAGCGGUUCCAACAUCCAUACAGUAGUUAAAUGUUCACAUUUAACAGUCGUAAUUGACAUUUUCCCUCGCUCCCUUCAGCAAUGAUAUAUCAAAGAGUGCAUCAGCCGCCGGAGGAGGAGAGAAAACAUUAGGAGGAUUAAUAAAGGGGGGGAGGAAAAUAGAUUGAGCGUUCACCAAGAUCAGUAAAAUAGGAUCUGUCAAGCAACCCUGAAACAUCCAUCCUGUGGAGAAAAAAAAGACAGAGGUACAUUUUCAUGGAUGGAAGGAAGGAAAAACAGAGGACAACCCGUGCGGCUGAUCAAUUUCCCUAGAUUAGCUUUCAGCGGCUGUGCCCGCUUCCAUUUGUAAAGAUAAUAUUAUGUAAUAACCCUUUUGGGUGACUAUUUAAAUUAUCAUACUGCCUACAGUGCAAGGCGCUAAUGGAAAUAUUUAACAUAAAUUCACUUUAAAAAAUGACGCCUUAAACAACAGUUGUAAGAAUUAUUCUGAAAUUAAAGGAGUGUGCAUAAAUGAUUCUCCCUGGCCUUGACUCGCUGUUCUCAAUUACGUUCUGCUCAACUGGAACAAUGAAACGAUGCUAGCACUGCGCUUUAUCGCGCAUAUAUAUGCGCUGUUACGAAUGUCAUAUGGAAGCUAUUUAUGGCCACAAGCAUCGGUGCCAAGGGCAUAGAAAACAGGGAUGUUAUUGAAUCAAUUCAGAAUGUGCAAAGGAGCAGUGCGACGAUAGAUCAGGUAGAGCCCAGCCGUUGCUGGGUUCCACUUGAAAAACGAUAGCUUCAGCUUGGCUUUUGUUGUGCGCCUUCAAAGACAGGCAUCUGAAAACCCCAAAUGAAGAGACAAAGCUGUAAGCAUUCCUCAGUCUUCUUCGCCUUCUACAAACUCGUUAAUGAUCUCAUUUCAAAACACCUUCCUGCGGACGUCCCCUUUCCUGUCUGGCUAACGCCAAAUUGCAUAAUGCCAACUGAACGCUCGCAUUUGUUCUCCCUUUCCUUCUCAGGAAAUCUAUUUAAAUUUUCACGCCAACUGUCAGUCCGAAUCCAACCUUGAUUUAUGCAAAAACAACGUCUGCUUUAAUUAGUCAUUUCUCCUCACUGUGCUCUAGGCGGCAAGCUGGGUUAGACAUUCGGAGGAACCUCCUUUUUGUAUGAUCAAAACUAGGCCAUCAGCAACACCAUGAUAAUAGCCACGUCUCAACACCCUAGCAACAUACGAGAGUGUGUGUUCGAGUGUGUUUUUAUCCCCCAUGAGCCAUCCAUCUCCACUCAGCAGGGUGGUUUUGGGUGGAGCACGGAUAAUCACAGCAGUCACUACACCUGGAGGACUGGAAAAUAAUAAACAACUAACAGGUAGUUUUUCCCCGUCAGCUCUCUAUACGUUCC